GCACGAGGACAUUAUGUUAAAUCCAACUAGUGUCUCCAAAACUGUCUCAUGAAAGAAAUGCACAAAAGCCUUCUGCUGAUGUUCUGGAGGCCUCUUCUGGGUCAGCCUGCCUUUGCUGAGCUGUGAGUGGUGUCUACGAAUGAUGAAGCUGCCACUUCUGACUUGUGUGAACUGACGGCUGAUAUACCUUGACGAUAAAGACUGGACUCGCUCCAAAGAGCUACUUCUAAACAGAUCCACAUCCUCCGUAUCCU
This 254-nucleotide long non-coding RNA is filed under the name Rattus norvegicus (Norway rat). RNAcentral's name for it is "long non-coding RNA NONRATT015998". Lineage: Eukaryota; Metazoa; Chordata; Mammalia; Rodentia; Muridae. The record is from RNAcentral.